UAGAUGCACCUUAAAACAAGAAAAUGAAGAAAAAACAAAUGUUAAUAUGCUGUACAAAAAAAAUAGAGAAGAAUUAGAAAGGAAAGAGAAACAAUAUAAGAAAGAAGUUGACGCAAAACAACUUGAACCAACUGUUCAGUCACUAGAGAUGAAAUCAAAGACUGCAAGAAAUACUCCAAAUCGGGAUUUUCAUAAUCAUGAAGAAAUGAAAGGUCUGAUGGAUGAAAAUUGCAUUUUGAAGGCAGAUAUUGCUAUACUCAGACAGGAAAUAUGUACAAUGAAAAAUGACAACUUGGAAAAAGAAAAUAAAUAUCUUAAGGACAUUAAAAUUGUUAAAGAAACAAAUGUUGCCCUUGAAAAGUACAUAAAACUCAAUGAGGAAAUGAUAACAGAAACAGCAUUCCGGUAUCAACAAGAGCUUAAUGAUCUCAAGGCUGAGAAUACAAGGCUCAAUGCCGAACUGUUGAAGGAAAAAGAAAGCAAGAAAAGACUGGAAGCUGACAUUGAAUCUUAUCAGUCUAGACUGGCUGCUGCUAUAAGUAAACACAGUGAAAGUGUGAAAACAGAAAGAAACCUAAAACUUGCUUUAGAGAGAACACGAGAUGUUUCUGUACACGUAGAAAGGAGUUCUGCUAUUUCCAAAGUAAAAGAUGAGAAUGAGUUUCUUACUGAACAACUUUCUGAAACACAAAUUAAAUUCAAUGCCUUAAAAGAUAAGUUCCGUAAGAUGAGAUAGUCUCAGAAAAAAGUCAUUGUCUUUAGAAACUGUACAAAACGACCUAAGCCAUACACAGCAGCAAACACAGGAAAUGAAAGAGAUGUAUCAAAAUGCAGAAGCCAAAGUGAAUAAUUCCACUGGAAAGUGGAACUGUGUAGAAGAGAGGAUAUGUCACCUCCAACGUGAAAAUGCAUGGCUUGUACAGCAACUAGAUGACGUUCAUCAGAAAGAGGAUCAUAAAGAGAUAGUAACUAAUAUUCAAAGAGGCUUUAUUGAGAGUGGAAAGAAAGAUCUCGUGCUAGAAGAGAAAAGUAAGAAGCUAAUGAAUGAAUGUGAUCAUUUAAAAGAAAGUCUCUUUCAGUAUGAGAGAGAGAAAGCAGAAGGAGUAGUGGUUGUGAGACAACUUCAACAAGAAGUGGCUGACAGUGUAAAAAAAUUAACGACGUUAGAGUCUCCACUGGAAGGUAUAUCACGUUGUCACAUUAAUUUGGAUGAGACAUAGGCCUCAAAGAAGAAAUUAUUUCAAGUGGAAAGUCAAAUAUAAGAAACUCCUGGAAAUGACAAUAAAUAUGUUAAAUGUAUUUGGAAAUGAAGAUUUUGAUUGCCAUGGAGACUUAAAAGCAGAUCAACUGAAAAUGGAUAUUCUGAUUAAGAAGCUAAAACAGAAGGAACAAGCACAAUAUGAAAAACAAUUAGAGCAGUUAAACAAGGAUAAUAUGGCUUCACUAAAUAAGAAAGAACUCACACUUAAAGAUGUGGAAUGUAAAUUCUCAGAAAUGAAAACUGCUUAUGAAGAGAUUACAACCGAAUUAGAAGAAUAUAAGGAAGCCUUUGCAGCAGCAUUGAAAGCUAACAAUUCCAUGUCAAAAAAAUUAACAAAAUCAAAUAAGAAAAUAGCAGUGAUCAGCAUGAAGCUCCUUAUGGAGAAAGAGCAGAUGAAAUAUUUUCUCAGCACUCUUCCUACAAGGCGAGACCCAGAGUCACCUUGUGUUGAAAAUCUUACUAGUAUAGGACUCAACAGAAAAUAUAUUCCCCAAACACCCAUAAGAAUUCCUAUUUCAAGCCCACAGACUUCAAAUAACUGCAAGAACUCCUUGACUGUGAUGGAGCUGGACUGUGUAGAACAAAUAACUAGAGAAACAAAGAGAAUUGUUGCUGUGUUGAACACUUGCUCCCGUCUACUUACUUCUCUAUAAUCCACUGCCAUGGAAUGAGUGAUUUUUCUUAGAAGCAGAGGUGGAGCCACUGAGGAAGCACAGGCGAGCCCUCCCCAGCACGUGAUCACUGGUCCCCAACAGAACAACCGCUGCCGCAUCCAUGAGACCAUAAAGGAAAACAGCAAGAGGUCCCCAGCAAACAUCUACAGAUGGCCCUGGAUAUCAGCCACAUUCGGAGAAACGUGUCAUGUUCUGGGAGGACUAAGGCAUCGAGAAUCCCAGUGAAUAUAUUGCCACCAUCUUGGAGCUCAGUGCCCUCAUAGUGUAAGAGCACCAGCAGAUCUGCCUGUGCACAGACUUCCUGUACUACCUCACUCCUGAGGGGAGAUGCUUCUGCAGGGCCUGCGACCUGGGGCACAACUUUAGACACCAUCAUCCUGGAGCGGCACUGCACCCUCACUAGCCAGGGUGUUGAUGACUUCCUCAAUGCCAAGGCCACGUUCAAGAUUUUCGACUUCAGUGAUGCGUUUGUGCU
Homo sapiens (human) is the source of this 2410-nucleotide long non-coding RNA. Lineage: Eukaryota; Metazoa; Chordata; Mammalia; Primates; Hominidae. The record is from Ensembl.